Non-coding RNA from Camellia sinensis, 180 nucleotides. Lineage: Eukaryota; Viridiplantae; Streptophyta; Magnoliopsida; Ericales; Theaceae. The record is from RefSeq and is a predicted model, not a curated record.
CUAAUAACAGUGUUCUGGUUCAGAAAACAGAGAGCCCAAUCUCGUACUUCUCUAACAAAAUCUUCUUCGUUUAUGAGUGAGUGAUUCUGUUAUCCAGUGCUGAUGAUGACGAUGGCAGCUAAAUGUGAUUCUUCCACAACAUUUCCAUUAUUUGCUUUCCGAAAGUUCAUCACUCCGAGG